GUGCUCGCUUUGGCAGCACACAUACUAAAAUUGGAACAAAACAGAGACGAUUAGUAUGGCCCCUGUCAAGGAUAACAUGCAGUUUUUGAAGCAUUCCAUAUUAAA
Molecule: small nuclear RNA, 105 nt
Filed under: Sciurus vulgaris (Eurasian red squirrel)
Lineage: Eukaryota; Metazoa; Chordata; Mammalia; Rodentia; Sciuridae
Source: RNAcentral